Non-coding RNA from Elaeis guineensis (African oil palm), 1663 nucleotides. The record is from RefSeq and is a predicted model, not a curated record. Lineage: Eukaryota; Viridiplantae; Streptophyta; Magnoliopsida; Arecales; Arecaceae.
ACCUACUCCUUCCAUGUUAAAAUAUGGAUGAUCACACAUUCCAGAAAAAUAAUCACCAACCACAUAUUCCCCCUCUACUUAUCCAAUCCUUUAUCUCACCAAUCCCUCAAGGUAUCCAUACGUUCCACCCCACACCCUACCCAUUUUAAUCACCUUUUUUUUUUUUUCCUUUGAAAAAAAAGAUCUUGUUUCUUCAAAAAAAAAAAAUGAUGGAAAAAUAGGGUGGAGGAUAGAUGGCAGCACAGGAGCAAUCCGCCGAGAGGCCGCCAGAUUUUGGUCUGCCUGAGGCGGUGUUGUCGGUGAUUCCUUCCGACCCCUUCGAGCAGCUGGACGUGGCGCGAAAGAUAACCUCCAUCGCCCUCGCCUCCCGCCUCUCCAAGCUCGAGUCCGAGGCCUCCCGCCUCCGCCAGCGCCUCGCCGAGAAGGAUGACAUCGUCGCAGAGCUCCGUGCUAAGGUCGAGACCCUCGACGCCUCCCUUGCCGACGUCUCUGACCGCCUCGCCCGCGCUGACGAGGAAAAGGAAACUCUCCUGAACGAGAAUGCUUCGCUUUCCAAUACCAUCAAGAAGCUCAACCGGGAUGUUUCUAAGUUGGAAAUUUUCAAAAAAACACUCAUGCGGUCACUUCAGGAGGAAGAAGAAAGUCCUCAAGUAGGAGCUCCCAGGGUGGUUCCAGAAAAGAUGACAGACACUGCUAGUUUCUCAACUGGGUCACUUGGUGAAGAUAAGGAUGCAGCCCUGCCCCCAUUGAAAUCAUCUUCUGUACAAAAUCAGUUCUCAGACACUGCAAGUUCCAUUUCAGAGGAUGGUAAUUAUAGUGGAACAGAUGGCUCCAAACAAGGCAAACCAUACAUGUUAUUAACAUCACGGGGUAGCACACCUAGGUUCACUCCACCAGAUUCUCCUCCUAGACGACAUUCUAUUUCAUUUUCAACUACAAGGAACCUGUUUGAUGAAAGGUCAUCCAUAUUUUCUUCCAUGCCAUCAAGCCAUCACAACUCAUUUAGCUCUCCUUUUGACAUGGGAGCGCAAACAGGACGGACCCGAGUUGAUGGAAAAGAGUUCUUUCGCCAAGUCCGGUACAUUCAAAGUGCAUUUUGCAAAGCAUGUUGAUUUUAUCAUUCUUUUAUUAGUGCUUCCUGCACUUUUGGGGCAACAGCAAAAGGAAAAAAAAAAGGGUUGGGUGGGGGGUGGUGGAGGGAAGAAAAAGGAAAAAAGAGGGGAAAAACAGAUGCCGCUUGUCAAAAUAAGAGCCGUCUGUCUUACGAGCAGUUCAGUGCUUUUCUAGCCAAUGUAAAAGAAUUGAAUGCGCAUAAACAGACAAGAGAGGAAACACUUCAAAAGGCUGAUGAGAUUUUUGGUCCAGACAACAGGGAUCUUUACACCAUAUUUGAGGGUCUGAUCACCCGUAAUGUCCAUUGAAUGUAAAACAGGGGCAAAUGAUAUACUUUCUUCCCCUCUAAGAGAUGAUGAGUCUUUUUAAUUCCUGUUUGCUGUUUCUUUUAUAAUUUCCAUAUGUAUAAAAUGGUGAGCUCUAUUUAUUUGUGUUAAUAUUUAAUUGUAAGAUAAUUUAGUUUAUAUUUUUGUGCUAUACUCAGGCACCGUCUGUAAUAAACAGUGUAUAAAAUGGUUGUAAUGGCAUUAAUCUUCAGAGACUGGAAAAA